GAUGAACGCUGGCGGCGUGCUUAACACAUGCAAGUCGAACGAUGAAGCCCAGCUUGCUGGGUGGUUUAGUUGCGAACGGGCGAGUAACACGUGAGUAACCUGCCCUUUACUCUGUCAUAAGCGCUGGAAACGGCGUCUAUAACCUGAUACGAGCUUCCACCGCAGGGUGAGUUGCUGGAAAGAAUUUCGGUAUAGGAUGGUCGCGCGGCGUAUCGGGUAGGUCGUGAAGUAACGGCUGACGAAGCCGACGACGGAUAGCCGGCCUGGGAGGGUGACCGGCCACCAGGGGCCUGAGAGAGGCAGCAGACUCCAACGGGAGGCAGUGGUGGGGAGUAUUGCCCAGUGAGCGCAAGCCUGAUACGGCAACGCCGCGUGAGGGAAGAACGCCUUCGGGGCGUAAACAUCUUUUAGCAGGGACGAAGCGGUAGUGACGGUACCUGCAGAAAAAGCACCGGCUAACUACGUG
Molecule: ribosomal RNA, 466 nt
Filed under: uncultured bacterium
Lineage: Bacteria
Description: partial 16S ribosomal RNA
Rfam family: Bacterial small subunit ribosomal RNA
Source: RNAcentral